AUAGCUGGGGGGCAGAAAGGGGGCGAAGCGGUCACGUUAUAAGGUUGAAGUGUGUGUGAGCGAGUGUGUGUUGCGAGGGUAAACUUAGAUACUCCAGUGAUAGUUUCUUUUAAUUAAUUUAUUUCAUAUUUUCGAAGUCAUUUAUGGUUUGCAGUGUUUUUUUUUAUGCUUUAUCGAGAUUCUGGUUAACUUAUUUAUUUCCCUUAUCACUUAUUCCUUCAGUAUUACCUUCUUUAUCACAUUAAUUAUCCAUAUCUGUUACAUUUUAUCAAUAAUUUAUGGUUUUUAGUGUGAUUUUAUAUUCCUGUAGGAUAAACUAAUUCUGACUGGCUUCGUUACUCAUAUUUCCCUUAUUACUAUACGGACCAAGCAAGUUUCAGGUAAGUUUUAAUUUAAUUUUAUCCACAUAAUUCCACGCCGGUAAGUUUUGGUUUUAUUAAUAAUUCGACGAGGUAUGAAGACGCGCACCGCUUUCUACCUCUUAGACACGUUAAUUCACCUUCAGAGCUCCCGGAAAGCCAUAAUUAAAGUGUGAAAAUAUCAAAACUAGUCUCCAGGAAAGCCAUAAUUAAGUUUAAGCUUCUAAAAAUGCUUGAAAAUGGCUAUAUUAUAUGUGUGUGGCUUUCUUGAGUGAUUUAGAGCGGGAAAUGGGGGGCGUCCCUUUUCUCUGCUCUGAUUGGCUGUCCUGGGGGCCUUGCUGUGCGCUGAUUGGCUUUGAGCUCCCCGCCUUUUUUUCCUGCUCUGUGAUUGGUCGCGGCACCAGGUCAGCAGCUUCCCCCUCAUUGCAACUUUGGCGCCAAAAUCUCGCUCCCUCACACACACGCCUCUUAACCUUCAAGACUCGUAGAAAACCAUAAUUAAAGUGUGCAAAGACUAAAAGUAACCUCUUGGAAAGCCAUAGUAAGAAUGUAAGGCUUAAACAGGCUUGGUCGCGGUGCAAAGGACGGCUUCCCUCAUAAGAAUCUUUGCCGCCAAUUUCUCGCACCCUCACACACACGCCUCUUAACCUUCAAGACUCGUAGAAAACCAUAAUUAAAGUGUGCAAAGACUAAAACUAACCUCCCGGAAAGCCAUAGUAACAUUGUAAGGCUUAAAAUAGGCUUGGAAAUAACUAUAUAUGUGUGUACGGACCCGACAAUUUCUCGCUCUUUCACACUCACGCCUCUAAACCUUCAAAGCUCCAAGAAAACCAUAAUUAAAGUGUGCAAAUACUAAUUCUAAUCUCCCGGAAAGCCAUAAUAACAUUGUAAGACUCAAAACAGGCUUGGAAAUAACUAUAAUAUAUCUUUGGCUUUGGCGGGAGAGGGCAGCGUCCCUAUUCUGUGCUCUGAUUGGCUGCCCGGAGCUUCCUGUGCGCUGAUUGGCUGGGAGUCUUCGCGUCUACACAGCCAUGGCCAUCUGUCAACCCCACCCCAUGGCCCCGCUGGCUCCCACUUUUUCUUGCCUCCACGAGCUUGCCAGGGACUUGUGGAGUGUAAUUUGAGUUGCCCUGACACAACAUGUAAGGGGCAGAAACAGAAGAUUACAGCACCCAAUACCUACCACGACAUGCUACUACACACAAUACUAGCACAGCCAUACCAAGAAAACAAGGUGGACAUUUUAGAACUAUUGUUAUGUAAAGAAGCAAUAAGACUGUGAAGUCAAGAAAGACCUGAUCAGAAGAAUGGGGAAGAAGAGAAGAAGAAAAGAAAACUGACCUCUUUUACAAUACACAGGUUACUGGACCCCUCCCUAAUCAAGAAACUUGAAACAUGCAUAAACAGAAGGAAGGAAAUUAAAUAUAUGCAAGAAUUUUGGAAGAAUCGCUUAAAAUCCGAGAAGGGACGGCAGCACUCAACCAGGCACAAGAAAAUCAAGAAGUGGAGGCUCUGAACUGCACUGAACUGAACUGUAAACUUUAUCAGAAGGGAGGAUAUUAAAUAUACUCAAGAGUUUUAGAAGAAUCGCUUAAAAAUCAGAGAAGAGAAGGCAGCACAACCAAGCACAAGAAGACCAUUUAGAGGGGCAAAGGCAACCCUCCGAACAGAACUGGAAACAAACAGAAGGGAGGAAAUUAAAUAUACUCAAGACUUUUAGAAGAAUCGCUUAAAAUUGGAGAAGAAAAGGCAGCACAAUCAGGCACAAGAAGACCAUUUAGAGGGGUCGCUGCAAAGGCACUCCCUCCGAACUACACUGCACUGAACUGACCUGGUUACGGCGCCUGUACAAGUGACCCGGGAUGGAGUACUGGCGGCAGGGCGGCUCUGCGAAAGGUGUGUAUGUGAUUUUACCUGCUGUAUGGGUGUAUGAUAGAAAGCAAAGGUUUUCAGUACUAUUAUGUCAACUAGGUACUAUUAUUGUAUGAACUGGGUACUAUAUUUACUAUGUGCCAUUACUGUUCUGUCAAUUAGGUAGGUUUUCUUAUAUACUAACAAGGUUUUCACUUUUAUCAACCAGGUAUUUGAUUAACUGUUACCAAGGUUUUCUUUACUAAUAUAUUGCAAGGUUUUCAUU
Long non-coding RNA from Eriocheir sinensis (Chinese mitten crab), 2496 nucleotides. RefSeq lists it as uncharacterized. NCBI's taxonomy places the organism in Eukaryota, Metazoa, Arthropoda, Malacostraca, Decapoda, Varunidae. The record is from RefSeq and is a predicted model, not a curated record. The transcript has 2 exons.